This 253-nucleotide ribosomal RNA is filed under the name uncultured bacterium. Its description in RNAcentral is "partial 16S ribosomal RNA". It matches the Rfam family "Bacterial small subunit ribosomal RNA", at positions 524 to 776 of the family's 1533-position model. The record is from RNAcentral.
UACGUAGGGGGCAAGCGUUGUCCGGAAUUAUUGGGCGUAAAGCGCGUGUAGGCGGCCAGAAAAGUCCGCUGUGAAGACUCGAGGCUCAACUUCGAGCUGUCGGUGGAAACUUUCUGGCUAGAGUCCGGAAGAGGAGAAUGGAAUUCCUGGUGUAGCGGUGAAAUGCGCAGAUAUCAGGAAGAACACCCGUGGCGAAGGCGGUUCUCUGGGACGGUACUGACGCUGAGACGCGAAAGCGUGGGGAGCGAACAGG